AGGCAUGGCUUGGGGGGCUUGGGCAGUAUCGAGGCAUGAGGAGUCCAACACUGGCACAUUGUUUGGAAGGAGUCAGUCAGCCAUUUGGAGAUAGUCACCACAGACCAGGACCUGUCAAGAAUGAUUGAGGGAAUAUGAUGACAUGUGAUUCUUCUCAUGUUGACUGACUGCCAAAUCCUAGCAAGGAAGUCAUUGCACAAUGGCUGGCACUGCAACCUUCAGACUGGUCAUGAUCCUGGUGUUUGUCCAAACUUAACCCCAACUAAGCAGACGAUCCUCAUGUUUGUCCAAACUCAACUCCAGAAGCCUCUCAUUCCU
This 318-nucleotide long non-coding RNA is filed under the name Oryza brachyantha (malo sina). RNAcentral describes it as "long non-coding RNA (OBRA_LNC002172)". The record is from RNAcentral. Lineage: Eukaryota; Viridiplantae; Streptophyta; Magnoliopsida; Poales; Poaceae.